This is a long non-coding RNA of Eriocheir sinensis (Chinese mitten crab), 299 nucleotides long. RefSeq lists it as uncharacterized. Lineage: Eukaryota; Metazoa; Arthropoda; Malacostraca; Decapoda; Varunidae. The record is from RefSeq and is a predicted model, not a curated record. The transcript is spliced from 3 exons.
GCAAGAACUGGACUACACUAUCUUGGAGGAGGAACACACACACACCCCUGGCAGGAGCUUGGAAGCUAGCGGGAGAAGAAGACACCAAAAUGAUGUGGCUGAGGAAAGAUCUGAAUGAACAAGAGAGAGACAAGUUGAAUGAACUCAGAGAACCCAAACAGAAGAAGAAGGCUGUCUAUCAAGCUGUCAAUCAUGUCUGGAGUCUAAGGCUCUUCAUCUCAUCAGCUCUCCUCCUUAUGCGGCCCCACAGCACACAACUUUCUACUCAAGCUCAUCCCUUUACUGUCCAAAUCUCUUAC